UACGAAGGGGGCUAGCGUUGUUCGGAAUUACUGGGCGUAAAGCGCACGUAGGCGGCGAUUUAAGUCAGAGGUGAAAGCCCGGGGCUCAACCCCGGAACUGCCUUUGAGACUGGAUUGCUUGAAUCCUGGAGAGGUGAGUGGAAUUCCGAGUGUAGAGGUGAAAUUCGUAGAUAUUCGGAAGAACACCAGUGGCGAAGGCGACUCGCUGGACAAGUAUUGACGCUGAGGUGCGAAAGCGUGGGGAGCAAACAGG
This 253-nucleotide ribosomal RNA is filed under the name uncultured Sphingobium sp. Its description in RNAcentral is "partial 16S ribosomal RNA". It matches the Rfam family "Bacterial small subunit ribosomal RNA", at positions 524 to 776 of the family's 1533-position model. Lineage: Bacteria; Pseudomonadati; Pseudomonadota; Alphaproteobacteria; Sphingomonadales; Sphingobiaceae. The record is from RNAcentral.